Phlebotomus papatasi is the source of this 2427-nucleotide long non-coding RNA. RefSeq lists it as uncharacterized. The transcript has 3 exons. The record is from RefSeq and is a predicted model, not a curated record. Lineage: Eukaryota; Metazoa; Arthropoda; Insecta; Diptera; Psychodidae.
AAAAUAAUCUCAUUUCAGUGACUUAUUUGUUAUUAGUUGUUUCUUUUUCUCUCACUUUUUUCAUUUAUCUUACUAAAUUAUUGUCAUUUCAUUAAAUAAUAUAUUUUCUUUUUUUUUACCAAUGGGUGUGGAGCAUUUUUUUUAUAUUUUAUUUUGGUGAAAAAAAAAAUCAAUUGAAGAGUAGUCUUUUUUUUCUGAAUCCUACAUCUUACAACUGUUUUAGCCGCCAAAUAACAAAAACAAAUGACACAAUAUUAAUGAGAAUGUGUAAAAUGAGCUAAUAAGAUAAAUAACCAUUGCAUUUUUAUAUUAUUCAUUUUUCUAUAAUAAUUAUCUCCAUUAUACUAUGAAUUGUUUCAUUUCUUUUUUCUUUAAUUUAUUUUAGUUCAAAAUAUCACCAAGUUAUUUUUUUUUAUUUCAAAAAACCCCACCAUCUGUCUUCAUUUCCUUUUAUUUAUUUUUUUUUUAUAUAUAUUCAUUAUUCACGACUUGUAUUGCUUUUUAAUCUAAUUCUUUUUCUUUCUGAAAUGUGUUUGGUAUUACAUUCUCACCUAAAAUUCCAUAUUCUUCUGUUUAAUAUCUAGUUUGACUUUUUUCUUUACUGUUUAUAGAAAUAUUUCAAUAUACUCGUAGUUUUAUUUUUUUAUGUAUAUAUAUAUUUCAUGGUAAAUAUGAAUUUUGCAACUAUGCUCGAGAUAUCUCCACAUAAUUCAAUUGGAAAUAAAGGUAAUAAUUCAGAGUUUCUUAAAUAUUAGUCUAAUAGUAUUUUGCUUCAUCUUUAAGUUGCAUUUAAAUAAUUGUUUUUUUUUUGCUUUCAUGAUAUUUUUAAAUACUAGAUUUUUUUUCCUAUUUUCUUAAUUGAUUUUUUCUUAAAUACCCUAUUUAAUAGAAAUACAGUAAAAUAAAUAUUUUAGUCUGGAAUACAAAUGUGUAUUCUGAGUAAAAUUUGUUGUAUAUUUUUUUUCUUUUUUUUUCUUUGUUACUCAAUUAAUUUAGACGGGGCAAAUAUUUGAAGAAUACAUUUUUAUUUAUGCGUUGGUUCUUAGGUAGAAUAUCACCUCUAAAAUUUGUUGUUUCGAUAAUGCAAAAAACUUAUUUGAACGACUAACUCCUUGCCUUGUGGGACUUUUUAUUAAAAAAAAAAUAGAGGAAGGUAUUGUAGUUUCGGAUGACAGAAGUAAUAUACAACAUGCCUUUUACUCCAAUAGCUAAAUUGUUGUGGUCAAUGCUAGGCUUUAUUUUUCAAAGGUGUCUCGGCUAAAAGGCAAAUAGUUUGCGUCCCGGUUAAAACACGGAAACCAAAAUCCCGAAUUAUGUCUUGGAUAAAAGGUAAAUGGAACUCUAUUUGCACAAGUCGUUGAAGUUCGAAAAAUUCAAAUUCAAUUUCGAAUUUUCAUACUAAAUUUUCAAACAAGGUGGGGAAAAUUUAUCAAAUAUUACACUAAAAACUGGCACAAGAGUUACUCAGUGAUUAUGGAGUGAUUAAAUACUGGGACAAGAACAGUAAACGUCGUUGUACUGUUUUUUUUUCCUCACAACAAUGUCAAGACCGUCACAUUUUGACACUUGACUUCGAAAUUCGAAUAGGAUGUACUUCAGCUAGAUUUUCGAAUGGUUUUUCCCUUUGCAAAUUUCUACUUCUGUACGGAAAGAAUAUAAUCCCAGGAAUGGUUCUGUUCAGUAAUAACCUUUCGAGGCAAAGCCACUCCAAAGCCAAUCCAAACCUAUUCAUAAAUCUACCGGAAGCUUAAAGUGAAAGUUCACGUACUCGCCGAUUUAGCGCUGAUUGUUCCGCUAUUUCGAUUUUCGAUAUUCUUGGCAGUUCAGUCGUCAAAAAAAGUGAGUAAACGUUUGUUGCAAAAAGUAAAUUUUUAUGUAGUUUUGUGGAAUUUCAGGAUGACAGAAUGUUUGAAUUCCGAUUUUAUUAUGACAAAUGUCCUUUUCAUGAACUCACUUACUUUUGUUCGUCGGUUUAAACUUUCGAACUUCCGAGGGGUUUUUACGUAAGUUCUCUCUGAUCUCUCUGAUAUACCUUCGAAUUGGUACAGUAGAAACCUCAACCAGAGUUGAGAGUUUUCAAAUCGGAAAUUAUUAUUACUACUCUGAAAAAAAAUGUUUUGUCAAAUUAACAAGACAAGUUUGUAAAAAGGAUGUUCUUUCAUACAGAAUAUGGAAAAGUUUUGUCAAAUCGGCGGCCAACUGGAUCUUGAUAAGUUUGUCAAAAGGGUGUUUUUCCAUAUAAAAUACAGGAAAAAGUUUUGUCAAAUUGGUAAAUAACAACCUUUUGACAAAAUUUCAACAAAAUCCAUUUGUUAGUUUAACAAAACAUUUUUUUUAAGAGUAAACGUAAGAAUUCUUUCAAAUAAAUAGAACUUUAUUUGCGCAAAAUAUUGUUUAUGCUCGAAGAAUUUAAAUUCAAUUUCGAAU